This is a long non-coding RNA of Capra hircus (goat), 1601 nucleotides long. RefSeq lists it as uncharacterized. The transcript is spliced from 6 exons. NCBI's taxonomy places the organism in Eukaryota, Metazoa, Chordata, Mammalia, Artiodactyla, Bovidae. The record is from RefSeq and is a predicted model, not a curated record.
AGCACUUCCUCAAGUCCCCAAGCUCAAGUAUCGCCGGAGGCGCUGCACUUCCACAGAAGCUAUAAAGCAAGAGGAGGAGCCAGCCCGCAGUGUGAGCAGGCAGCCAGGAGGCAGUGGCAGCGCUCUUGGGUCCCUCCUAUGGGGGCUCCUGGCCCAGACUAAGGUGAGAAAGGAGAAAAGAGGGCAAAGGAGGCAGGUCUGUGAAGAUGCUUCUCAGCAGACAGCUGUGGGCCCCUCCCCCACUGGCUCAGUGAGGCGAGCAGGGCUGUGUGCCCUAGUCCAGGCCUAGAGGGGUGCGACCCUGGACCUGGGACGUGCGAUGGACAGGAUCCUGUCUCGUUUCUGAGAGAAACAGGCUGAGGAGCUGACGUCAUCAGCUCAGGCCUGGUGUGGACCCUGCAGGACAGCGAUCUGGUCUGGGGCUGAUUUCCGUUCUUCCCAUUCUCAGCCUCUGGGCAGUGAGGAAGGGGUGCCAGAGAACCAGAAGCUGGGGUGGCAUGUAGGGGGGUCAGCGAUUGGAGAAGCUCUGCCCUCCUCUGGUGCUGCGGCUUGAGAGGCCUGGCAUGAAGGUGUGAAACACCCCCAUGAAAGUGCCCAUGAGACUCAACUCUAAACAGUUUCUGCCUCUCCAGGAAGCCAUCUUGCAACAGUACCAAUCCAGGAACUCAGGCCCCCACUCAGGCGUGGAUGGAAUGAUGAUGUUGGCCUUCCUGACUUCAGUCAACUGAAGCUUGUACUCUGAAGACCUUGGCCCCAGGAGGUCCUGGGAAGGAAUAUGGAACGAACACCACCACCCAGAAGAAUUUGGGAAAUGUCAAAAGGAGGAAGGAGAUGCCAGUCCAUACGUCCUACCAAGCUUUCAGCAUCUCAUCUUCUCACUGGAAUCCAUCUUAGCUGAGCGAUGCGCAUGGCCAGGAAAGACCCUGAAUCAGAAUGACUGGGCAGAGACAGGUCAUAAGUUGUCUCAUUACCAUAAAGCCUGAGACUGUGAGCCACGUGGUGGAGCAGUUGUCCUGAGUUCCCUUGCCCUCCCGCCCUCUGCUCAGGCGCCCCUUCCCAAUAAAAUCUCAUGCUUUGACAGCACGUGCGUCUCCUCGGACAAUUCACUGUUGAGUAUGAGAUGAGUGCCCACUCUCAGGCCCUGAAGGAGGCCCUCUUCCUGCAACAAAUGGCUACUCUGGUGGGAUCUCUUCUUUGCCACGACUGACAUCCUGAUCACUUGGGGUACUUGGGAACAAGCUUGCCUGCCCAUGGACCAGACCCAGUGGUCACUACCUGGGACCCUUUGUCCCUGGUCUCCUCCUGAUGCAGCUGGUUGGUCAGAGUGCCCUGACCCUGACCGGGGUGGAGUUCCUGACCUUUCUUCCUGAAAAGCCAAGGGAAAGUCCUGUAAUAUCUGAGCGCUGCAGGUGGCAGGAGCCGUCUGUGGAUUCUUUACCAGCUGAACCACAAGGGAAACCCCACCAUAAAGCUGAACUAAGAAAUUGAAGAAUUCUAAUGGGAAACCUGCAUGCAUGCGUGCCAAGUUGAUUCUGUCAUGUCCGACUCUUUGCAACCCUGUGGACUGCAGCCUGCCAGGCUCCUCUGUCUGUGGGAUUCUC